RNAcentral lists this transfer RNA (72 nucleotides) under Phrynosoma platyrhinos (Desert horned lizard). RNAcentral describes it as "tRNA-OTHER". The record is from RNAcentral. Lineage: Eukaryota; Metazoa; Chordata; Lepidosauria; Squamata; Phrynosomatidae.
GCCAGUGUGGCAUAGUGGUUUGAGUGUUGGACUAUGAAUCUGGCGACCAAGGUUCAAUUUCCAGUUCGGCCA